This is a long non-coding RNA of Rhineura floridana, 808 nucleotides long. RefSeq lists it as uncharacterized. The transcript is spliced from 3 exons. The record is from RefSeq and is a predicted model, not a curated record. NCBI's taxonomy places the organism in Eukaryota, Metazoa, Chordata, Lepidosauria, Squamata, Rhineuridae.
UCGCGGAGGGCCCCUCGGGGGCUCCUGUAGCUCCGGGGCACUCGGGCCAGUGCAAAACCUGGCCGCCCUUUAAAACCGGUCCUGGGGUCAGCUAUGCUCGCUGUGGUGGGCAGAGGCAGCAUGGAAGCAGGAACAGCCCAAGCCACCUUGGGGCCAGAAGCGGAAAAUCCACAUGGCAUCUCCUUCUGAUGGUAAAUAUACUAUGAACCAAAUCAGUGGGAAAUUUGCUGCCCUCUCAACUUCCAUCAGGAUUUGACUGCCUCACCCUGCCUAAUGGUAAGGCUGGACUUUCAGGAACAGGAAUCUGCUUCUACAGGCAACACAAGUAAACAAUGCAGGAGUAAGGUGAGGCAGUCGACGUGCUGAACCGCUGCCUGGCUGCGACAAUGGACUGGAUGAGAACUAGCAAACUGAGACUCAAUCCUGACAAGAAUGAGAUGCUGUUGGUGGAUGGUUUCUCUGAUCGGAUGGUGGAUAUAUACCCUGUCCUGGAUGGGGUUACACUCCCCCUAAAGGAACAGGUGCGUAGUCUGGGAGUCAUCUUAGACUCUUCCCUCACACUUGAGGCUCAUGUAGCCUCGGUGGCCCGGAAUGCGUUCUACCAACUUCGGUUGGUAGCCCAGCUACGUCCCUAUCUGAGUAAGGAGGACCUCACAUCAGUGGUACAUGCUAUGGUAACCUCGCGUCUGGACUACUGCAAUGCGCUUUAUGUAGGGCUACCUUUGAAGACGAUUCGGAAGCUACAGCUAGUGCAAAAUGCGGCGGCCAGACUGCUAACAAGAACUAAGCGGUCUGAGCAUAUAACACC